CAAAGCCUCUUGUGAAAACUGUGUCCCAGCCUGCCUCAGUGUCCCUCUUAAAUCCUACAGACUAAAGGACACCGUUUUAGAAGAGGCCUUAGCAAGGAGAAGGAGAGGAUCUGGGGUUCGGAAUCUCCUACACCACUCCAUGUCCUCACCCAGCCAGUGGCCCUUUCCGGGGGCCACUCCUCACAUAGGAUGUUGCUGGUACCUCCUGGCCUGGCCCCGGGAAUGCCUGGAAUUAGAGGGGUCCUGGAUCCCCUUCUGACUUGGUUCCUGACCCCUCAGCUGGACUUGGAUCUCAGAAUCCACCUCUGUCUGCUUUGGACUUCAGUAGUAUUUAUUCAUUACUGCUUUAGACUUCAGUAGUAUUUAUUCAUUACUGCUUUGGACUUCAGUAGUAUUUAUUCAUUACUGCUUUAGCCACUCAUCCUUUUUCAGGGAUUAGGAAUGGCCUCCUUCCUGAAGACCCGUACUGGAGUUCCUGUGCUGCAGGACACACGGGAGCCGGGUGGCAUUGUGAGUGCAAAAAGGUAGCUGGCAUGCUCCCAUUGCUGUUCAUUUCGCAUAAAUACUAAAAAGAAGAAACUAAAUGUUUAUUUGUGAGGAAGGAAGGAGGAGUGGAUCUGGAAUGCGCCCCGCACGCCCGCCCCACCCCGCCGGCCCAUGUAUUCCAAGCGUCUUUCUCAGCCUGUGGCACCAAAGGAAAGCAGUGAAUCCCGUAGACGGAGAAGUCAAUGAAGGAAGUUAUGUCACCGGGACCUGGCCCCUUCCCCUUGCUUUCCAUUGCUUCUGCUGCUCCAGUCCCGUUUGCGCGCUACGCUGCCCCAGAGACAGAUGACCUGAAAACAUGAGCUAAUUAAACCCUUCUUCUUUUUAA
Molecule: long non-coding RNA, 871 nt
Organism: Mesocricetus auratus (golden hamster)
Lineage: Eukaryota; Metazoa; Chordata; Mammalia; Rodentia; Cricetidae
Exons: 2
Source: RefSeq, a predicted model, not a curated record